This 65-nucleotide transfer RNA is filed under the name Deporaus marginatus. RNAcentral describes it as "tRNA-Phe". The record is from RNAcentral. Lineage: Eukaryota; Metazoa; Arthropoda; Insecta; Coleoptera; Attelabidae.
AUUUAAAUAGCUUAAAAUAGAGCAUAGUAUUGAAGAUACUAGGGUAACAUUACUGUUUUUAAAUA